Molecule: ribosomal RNA, 492 nt
Filed under: uncultured bacterium
Lineage: Bacteria
Description: partial 16S ribosomal RNA
Rfam family: Bacterial small subunit ribosomal RNA
Source: RNAcentral
AGUGAACGCUGGCGGUAGGCCUAACACAUGCAAGUCGAACGGCAGCACAGUAAGAGCUUGCUCUUACGGGUGGCGAGUGGCGGACGGGUGAGGAAUACAUCGGAAUCUACUUUUUCGUGGGGGAUAACGUAGGGAAACUUACGCUAAUACCGCAUACGACCUACGGGUGAAAGCAGGGGAUCUUUGGACCUUGCGCGAUUGAAUGAGCCGAUGUCGGAUUAGCUAGUUGGCGGGGUAAAGGCCCACUAAGGCGACGAUCCGUAGCUGGUCUGAGAGGAUGAUCAGCCACACUGGAACUGAGACACGGUCCAGACUCCUACGGGAGGCAGCAGUGGGGAAUAUUGGACAAUGGGCGCAAGCCUGAUCCAGCCAUACCGCGUGAGUGAAGAAGGCCUUCGGGUUGUAAAGCCCUUUUGUUGGGAAAGAAAAGCAGCAGGUUAAUACCCCGCUGUUCUGACAGUACCCAAAGAAUAAGCACCGGCUAACUUCGUG